CAUGAAGCUGGAUUCGCUAGUAAUCGCGCAUCAGCCACGGCGCGGUGAAUACGUUCCCGGGCCUUGUACACACCGCCCGUCAAGCCAUGGAAGCCGGGGGUGCCUGAAGUGCGCUGCCGCGAGGAGCGCCCUAGGGUAAAACCGGUGACUGGGGCUAAGUCGUAACAAGGUAAC
RNAcentral lists this ribosomal RNA (174 nucleotides) under uncultured bacterium. RNAcentral describes it as "partial 16S ribosomal RNA". It matches the Rfam family "Bacterial small subunit ribosomal RNA", at positions 1319 to 1500 of the family's 1533-position model. The record is from RNAcentral.